This 482-nucleotide ribosomal RNA is filed under the name bacterium U. RNAcentral describes it as "bacterial SSU rRNA". It matches the Rfam family "Bacterial small subunit ribosomal RNA", at positions 28 to 492 of the family's 1533-position model. The record is from RNAcentral.
GAUGAACGCUGGCGGCGUGCCUAAUACAUGCAAGUCGAGCGAACGGACGAGAAGCUUGCUUCUCUGAUGUUAGCGGCGGACGGGUGAGUAACACGUGGAUAACCUACCUAUAAGACUGGGAUAACUUCGGGAAACCGGAGCUAAUACCGGAUAAUAUUUUGAACCGCAUGGUUCAAAAGUGAAAGACGGUCUUGCUGUCACUUAUAGAUGGAUCCGCGCUGCAUUAGCUAGUUGGUAAGGUAACGGCUUACCAAGGCAACGAUGCAUAGCCGACCUGAGAGGGUGAUCGGCCACACUGGAACUGAGACACGGUCCAGACUCCUACGGGAGGCAGCAGUAGGGAAUCUUCCGCAAUGGGCGAAAGCCUGACGGAGCAACGCCGCGUGAGUGAUGAAGGUCUUCGGAUCGUAAAACUCUGUUAUUAGGGAAGAACAUAUGUGUAAGUAACUGUGCACAUCUUGACGGUACCUAAUCAGAAAGCC